Long non-coding RNA from Carcharodon carcharias (great white shark), 656 nucleotides. RefSeq lists it as uncharacterized. The record is from RefSeq and is a predicted model, not a curated record. The transcript is spliced from 3 exons. Lineage: Eukaryota; Metazoa; Chordata; Chondrichthyes; Lamniformes; Lamnidae.
GGUCCAGAGAGGGCGCUGGCUUGACUUAACACUGGGGCCCUCUCUCAUUCUAUCGCGUCAGUUUAUUUUUUUUGAAAACAGGGAGUUUUAUUCGGUCCGGAGGAGGGAGGCCAGAGCGAAACAAAAAACCCGGACGUGAAAGCUUCGAAAGGGGGUGGGUUGGGGGGGUGGUGGAGAGACAGCCUUUGCCUUGAGAAGAAACCAUUCACCUCCUCUUCCCCCCCAAACCUUGUCAGGGACAUUUCCCCACACCCUCUUGUGUCUUUUUUUUUGCUUCUCUCUCUCUGUGCCUAAGGAUUUCUGUUGUUAGGGAGGGGGGUUUAAAAAAAAGGAUAUCAGGAACUGGGAUCUCUCUCUCUCUCUCUCCCAUCCACCCACAACGCCAAUCAGGUUGCUGCUGAUGUCUUGGAUUUGGAGGGAGAUUGCACAGUGAGAAUACAGACAGACGACAUCCACCCGAAGUGAAUCUGCCCGAGGUUUGGUUGACGGUGAAUGUGGGGGUGACCUUACACUCGGUCAAAGAGGUCAGCAAACGUGCAGCAUUUCCCUUAGGAAACCGAUCUGAGCUGCACAGUGCAACUGGCAAUAACUUCCCCAGGAAACCACCUCCAUGUAAAUAUAUCGGUGUCUGUAGGGCUGCUGCUGCUGUCGAAGUC